RNAcentral lists this ribosomal RNA (1363 nucleotides) under uncultured bacterium. RNAcentral's name for it is "bacterial SSU rRNA". It matches the Rfam family "Bacterial small subunit ribosomal RNA", at positions 28 to 1387 of the family's 1533-position model. The record is from RNAcentral.
GAUGAACGCUAGCUACAGGCUUAACACAUGCAAGUCGAGGGGCAGCAUCAUCAAAGCUUGCUUUGAUGGAUGGCGACCGGCGCACGGGUGAGUAACACGUAUCCAACCUGCCGACAACACUGGGAUAGCCUUUCGAAAGAAAGAUUAAUACCGGAUGGCAUAGUUUUUCCGCAUGGGAUAAUUAUUAAAGAAUUUCGGUUGUCGAUGGGGAUGCGUUCCAUUAGGCAGUUGGCGGGGUAACGGCCCACCAAACCAACGAUGGAUAGGGGUUCUGAGAGGAAGGUCCCCCACAUUGGAACUGAGACACGGUCCAAACUCCUACGGGAGGCAGCAGUGAGGAAUAUUGGUCAAUGGACGAGAGUCUGAACCAGCCAAGUAGCGUGAAGGAUGACUGCCCUAUGGGUUGUAAACUUCUUUUAUACGGGAAUAAAGUUAGCCACGUGUGGCUUUUUGUAUGUACCGUAUGAAUAAGGAUCGGCUAACUCCGUGCCAGCAGCCGCGGUAAUACGGAGGAUCCGAGCGUUAUCCGGAUUUAUUGGGUUUAAAGGGAGCGUAGGCGGGUUGUUAAGUCAGUUGUGAAAGUUUGCGGCUCAACCGUAAAAUUGCAGUUGAUACUGGCGACCUUGAGUGCAACAGAGGUAGGCGGAAUUCGUGGUGUAGCGGUGAAAUGCUUAGAUAUCACGAAGAACUCCGAUUGCGAAGGCAGCUUACUGGAUUGUAACUGACGCUGAUGCUCGAAAGUGUGGGUAUCAAACAGGAUUAGAUACCCUGGUAGUCCACACAGUAAACGAAGAAUACUCGCUGUUGGCGAUAUACGGUCAGCGGCCAAGCGAAAGCAUUAAGUAUUCCACCUGGGGAGUACGCCGGCAACGGUGAAACUCAAAGGAAUAGACGGGGGCCCGCACAAGCGGAGGAACAUGUGGUUUAAUUCGAUGAUACGCGAGGAACCUUACCCGGGCUUAAAUUGCAACUGACUGAACCGGAAACGGUUCUUUUUUCUGACAGUUGUGAAGGUGCUGCAUGGUUGUCGUCAGCUCGUGCCGUGAGGUGUCGGCUUAAGUGCCAUAACGAGCGCAACCCUUAUCGAUAGUUACUAGCAGGUCAUGCUGAGGACUCUAUUGAGACUGCCGUCGUAAGAUGUGAGGAAGGUGGGGAGGACGUCAAAUCAGCACGGCCCCUACGUCCGGGGGUACACACGUGUUACAAUGGGGGGUACAGAAGGCAGCUACACGGCGACGUGGUGCUAAUCCCGAAAGCCUCUCUCAGUUCGGAUUGGAGUGUGCAACCCGACUCCAUGAAGCUGGAUUCGCUAGUAAUCGCGCAUCAGCCACGGCGCGGUGAAUAAAAUGCCGGGCCUUGCACU